This 110-nucleotide ribosomal RNA is filed under the name uncultured Archaeospora. RNAcentral describes it as "partial 18S ribosomal RNA". The record is from RNAcentral. Lineage: Eukaryota; Fungi; Glomeromycota; Glomeromycetes; Archaeosporales; Archaeosporaceae.
UCCUGCCUUGACACACGCCGUCGUACUACGAUGAAUGGCUAGUGAGCCCUCGAUUGUAUCGGUGGCUGCACAGUCGCUGUCUUCUGAAAGUUGGUCAAACUUGGUCAUUA